UACGGUCAAAUCACGCUGAAACACCGGUUCUCGUACGAUCACCGAAGUUAAGCAUCGUAGAGCCAGGUCAGUACUUAGAUGGGGGACCGCUUGGGAACACCUGGUACUGUAAG
This 113-nucleotide ribosomal RNA is filed under the name Acanthosepion pharaonis. Lineage: Eukaryota; Metazoa; Mollusca; Cephalopoda; Sepiida; Sepiidae. The record is from RNAcentral.